This 264-nucleotide ribosomal RNA is filed under the name uncultured bacterium. Its description in RNAcentral is "partial 16S ribosomal RNA". It matches the Rfam family "Bacterial small subunit ribosomal RNA", at positions 524 to 784 of the family's 1533-position model. The record is from RNAcentral.
UACGAAGGGGGCUAGCGUUGUUCGGAUUUACUGGGCGUAAAGCGCACGUAGGCGGAUCGUUAAGUCGGGGGUGAAAUCCUGGAGCUCAACUCCAGAACUGCCUUCGAUACUGGCGAUCUUGAGUCCGGAAGAGGUGAGUGGAACUCCUAGUGUAGAGGUGGAAUUCGUAGAUAUUAGGAAGAACACCAGUGGCGAAGGGCGCUCACUGGUCCGGUACUGACGCUGAGGUGCGAAAGCGUGGGGAGCAAACAGGGAGUUAAGAAA